AACGAACGCUGGCGGCAUGCCUAACACAUGCAAGUCGAACGAGACCUUCGGGUCUAGUGGCGCACGGGUGCGUAACGCGUGGGAACCUGCCUUUAGGUUCGGAAUAACUCAGAGAAAUUUGAGCUAAUACCGGAUGAUGUCUUCGGACCAAAGAUUUAUCGCCUUUAGAUGGGCCCGCGUUGGAUUAGCUAGUUGGUGGGGUAAAGGCCUACCAAGGCGACGAUCCAUAGCUGGUCUGAGAGGAUGAUCAGCCACACUGGGACUGAGACACGGCCCAGACUCCUACGGGAGGCAGCAGUGGGGAAUAUUGGACAAUGGGCGAAAGCCUGAUCCAGCGAUGCCGCGUGAGUGAUGAAGGCCUUAGGGUUGUAAAGCUCUUUUACCCGAGAUGAUAAUGACAGUAUCGGGAGAAUAAGCGCCGGCUAACUCCGUG
RNAcentral lists this ribosomal RNA (433 nucleotides) under uncultured bacterium. RNAcentral's name for it is "partial 16S ribosomal RNA". It matches the Rfam family "Bacterial small subunit ribosomal RNA", at positions 29 to 507 of the family's 1533-position model. The record is from RNAcentral.